Molecule: ribosomal RNA, 427 nt
Filed under: uncultured bacterium
Lineage: Bacteria
Description: bacterial SSU rRNA
Rfam family: Bacterial small subunit ribosomal RNA
Source: RNAcentral
UGGGGAAUUUUGGACAAUGGGCGCAAGCCUGAUCCAGCAAUGCCGCGUGCAGGAUGAAGGCCUUCGGGUUGUAAACUGCUUUUGUACGGAGCGAAAAGGUCUGCCCUAAUACGGUGGGCUCAUGACGGUACCGUAAGAAUAAGCACCGGCUAACUACGUGCCAGCAGCCGCGGUAAUACGUAGGGUGCGAGCGUUAAUCGGAAUUACUGGGCGUAAAGCGUGCGCAGGCGGUUAUAUAAGACAGAUGUGAAAUCCCCGGGCUCAACCUGGGAACUGCAUUUGUGACUGUAUAGCUAGAGUACGGCAGAGGGGGAUGGAAUUCCGCGUGUAGCAGUGAAAUGCGUAGAUAUUCGGAGGAACACCAGUGGCGAAGGCGGCUCACUGGCUCGAUACUGACGCUGAGGUGCGAAAGCGUGGGGAGCAAACA